AUUGAACGCUGGCGGCAGGCCUAACACAUGCAAGUCGAGCGGCAGCACUUCGGGUGGCGAGCGGCGAACGGGUGAGUAAUACAUGGGAAUCUGCCUGGUAGUGGGGGAUAACUCUGGGAAACUAGAGGUAAUACCGCAUACGCCCUACGGGGGAAAGCGGGGGAUCUUCGGACCUCGCGCUAUCAGAGGAGCCCAUGUCCGAUUAGCUAGUUGGUGAGGUAAAGGCUCACCAAGGCGACGAUCGGUAACUGGUCUGAGAGGAUGAUCAGUCACACUGGAACUGAGACACGGUCCAGACUCCUACGGGAGGCAGCAGUGGGGAAUAUUGGACAAUGGGCGCAAGCCUGAUCCAGCCAUGCCGCGUGUGUGAAGAAGGUCUUCGGAUUGUAAAGCACUUUAAGUUGGGUAGGAAGGGUAGUAGCUUAAUACGUUGCUACUUUGACGUUACCGACAGAAUAAGCACCGGCUAACUCU
This 474-nucleotide ribosomal RNA is filed under the name uncultured bacterium. RNAcentral describes it as "bacterial SSU rRNA". It matches the Rfam family "Bacterial small subunit ribosomal RNA", at positions 30 to 504 of the family's 1533-position model. The record is from RNAcentral.